GGCUGGUCUGAGUACACGGAUGUUUACAACUAAUUGAUCACAGGCAGUUACAGAUUCCUUUGUUCCUUUUCCCCUCUUACUGUUUCACCUGAUUAACCUUAA
RNAcentral lists this non-coding RNA (102 nucleotides) under Otolemur garnettii (small-eared galago). The record is from RNAcentral. Lineage: Eukaryota; Metazoa; Chordata; Mammalia; Primates; Galagidae.